Molecule: ribosomal RNA, 450 nt
Filed under: uncultured Glomus
Lineage: Eukaryota; Fungi; Glomeromycota; Glomeromycetes; Glomerales; Glomeraceae
Description: SSU rRNA
Rfam family: Eukaryotic small subunit ribosomal RNA
Source: RNAcentral
AGCAGCCGCGGUAAUUCCAGCUCCAAUAGCGUAUAUUAAAGUUGCUGCAGUUAAAAGGCUCGUAGUUGAAUUUCGGGAUCGAUAUAUCGGUCGUGCCUCGGUACGUACUGGUAUUUUCGGUUUCUACCUUCUGACGAACCUUGAUGUCAUUAAUUUGGUGUCUUGGGGAAUCAGGACUGUUACUUUGAAAAAUUAGAGUGUUUAAAGCAGGCUCACGCUUGAAUACAUUAGCAUGGAAUAAUGAAAUAGGACGUUUGAUUCUAUUUUGUUGGUUUCUAGGAUCGACGUAAUGAUUAAUAGGGAUAGUUGGGGGCAUUAGUAUUCAAUUGUCAGAGGUGAAAUUCUUGGAUUUAUUGAAGACUAACUACUGCGAAAGCAUUUGCCAAGGAUGUUUUCAUUAAUCAAGAACGAAAGUUAAGGGAUCGAAGACGAUCAGAUACCGUCGUAGUC